CCUACGGGAGGCAGCAGUGGGGAAUAUUGCGCAAUGGGCGAAAGCCUGACGCAGCGACGCCGCGUGAGGGAUGAAGGCCUUCGGGUCGUAAACCUCUUUCAGCAGGGAAGAAGCGCAAGUGACGGUACCUGCAGAAGAAGCACCGGCUAACUACGUGCCAGCAGCCGCGGUAAUACGUAGGGUGCAAGCGUUGUCCGGAAUUAUUGGGCGUAAAGAGCUCGUAGGCGGUCUGUCGCGUCUGCUGUGAAAACCUAGGGCUUAACUCUGGGCGUGCAGUGGGUACGGGCAGACUAGAGUGCGGUAGGGGAGACUGGAAUUCCUGGUGUAGCGGUGAAAUGCGCAGAUAUCAGGAGGAACACCGGUGGCGAAGGCGGGUCUCUGGGCCGUAACUGACGCUGAGGAGCGAAAGCAUGGGGAGCGAACAGGAUUAGAUACCCUGGUAGUCCAUGCCGUAAACGUUGGGCGCUAGGUGUGGGGUCCAUUCCACGGAUUCUGCGCCGCAGCUAACGCAUUAAGCGCCCCGCCUGGGGAGUACGGCCGCAAGGCUAAAACUUAAGGAAUUGACGG
Molecule: ribosomal RNA, 567 nt
Filed under: uncultured bacterium
Lineage: Bacteria
Description: bacterial SSU rRNA
Rfam family: Bacterial small subunit ribosomal RNA
Source: RNAcentral